CACGUAGGCACCAAGCGUUGUCCGGAUUUAUUGGGCGUAAAGAGCUCGUAGGCGGUUUGUCGCGUCUGCUGUGAAAACUCAGGGCUUAACCCUGAGCCUGCUUCCGAUACGGGCAGACUAGAGGUAUGCAGGGGAGAACGGAAUUCCUGGUGUAGCGGUGGAAUGCGCAGAUAUCAGGAGGAACACCGGUGGCGAAGGCGGUUCUCUGGGCAUUACCUGACGUGAGGAGCGAAAGUGUGGGGAGCGAACAGG
This 252-nucleotide ribosomal RNA is filed under the name uncultured bacterium. RNAcentral describes it as "partial 16S ribosomal RNA". It matches the Rfam family "Bacterial small subunit ribosomal RNA", at positions 524 to 776 of the family's 1533-position model. The record is from RNAcentral.